This 273-nucleotide unclassified non-coding RNA is filed under the name Hevea brasiliensis (rubber tree). Lineage: Eukaryota; Viridiplantae; Streptophyta; Magnoliopsida; Malpighiales; Euphorbiaceae. The record is from RNAcentral.
GUUUCUCUCUGCUUCUCCGCUGCUUCACUCAUACCUUUGUAUACUUUUAUAUAUAAAUUAUUUAGCAGAGUGAGUGGGAGGGAGAACGGACGGGAGACAUCGUCGGAGGUGGGAAUCGUUUGUAUCAGCUUCUUUUAUCGUCAUCGGAAAGACUUUGUCAGAGGUAAUUGGAUACUGAAGCUUGAGAUGGCUGCUACUGCAACUGCAUCUUCUACUGGUCCACGUUAUGCACCAGAGGAUCCCACCCUUCCCAAACCUUGGAAAGGCCUAGUU